RNAcentral lists this ribosomal RNA (2350 nucleotides) under Citrobacter portucalensis. Its description in RNAcentral is "partial 23S ribosomal RNA". It matches the Rfam family "Bacterial large subunit ribosomal RNA", at positions 370 to 2818 of the family's 2925-position model. The record is from RNAcentral. Lineage: Bacteria; Pseudomonadati; Pseudomonadota; Gammaproteobacteria; Enterobacterales; Enterobacteriaceae.
GUCCCGUACACAAAAGUGCAUGUGUUGUGAACUCGAAGAGUAGGGCGGGACACGUGGUAUCCUGUCUGAAUAUGGGGGGACCAUCCUCCAAGGCUAAAUACUCCUGACUGACCGAUAGUGAACCAGUACCGUGAGGGAAAGGCGAAAAGAACCCCGGCGAGGGGAGUGAAAAAGAACCUGAAACCGUGUACGUACAAGCAGUGGGAGCACCCUUUGGGGUGUGACUGCGUACCUUUUGUAUAAUGGGUCAGCGACUUAUAUUCUGUAGCAAGGUUAACCGAAUAGGGGAGCCGAAGGGAAACCGAGUCUUAACUGGGCGUUAAGUUGCAGGGUAUAGACCCGAAACCCGGUGAUCUAGCCAUGGGCAGGUUGAAGGUUGGGUAACACUAACUGGAGGACCGAACCGACUAAUGUUGAAAAAUUAGCGGAUGACUUGUGGCUGGGGGUGAAAGGCCAAUCAAACCGGGAGAUAGCUGGUUCUCCCCGAAAGCUAUUUAGGUAGCGCCUCGUGAAUUCAUCUUCGGGGGUAGAGCACUGUUUCGGCUAGGGGGUCAUCCCGACUUACCAACCCGAUGCAAACUGCGAAUACCGAAGAAUGUUAUCACGGGAGACACACGGCGGGUGCUAACGUCCGUCGUGAAGAGGGAAACAACCCAGACCGCCAGCUAAGGUCCCAAAGUCAUGGUUAAGUGGGAAACGAUGUGGGAAGGCACAGACAGCCAGGAUGUUGGCUUAGAAGCAGCCAUCAUUUAAAGAAAGCGUAAUAGCUCACUGGUCGAGUCGGCCUGCGCGGAAGAUGUAACGGGGCUAAACCAUGCACCGAAGCUGCGGCAGCGACACUAUGUGUUGUUGGGUAGGGGAGCGUUCUGUAAGCCGUUGAAGGUGUACUGUGAGGUAUGCUGGAGGUAUCAGAAGUGCGAAUGCUGACAUAAGUAACGAUAAUGCGGGUGAAAAACCCGCACGCCGGAAGACCAAGGGUUCCUGUCCAACGUUAAUCGGGGCAGGGUGAGUCGACCCCUAAGGCGAGGCCGAAAGGCGUAGUCGAUGGGAAACAGGUUAAUAUUCCUGUACUUGGUGUUACUGCGAAGGGGGGACGGAGAAGGCUAUGUUAGCCGGGCGACGGUUGUCCCGGUUUAAGCAUGUAGGCGGNNNNNNNNNNNNNNNNNNNNNNNNNNNNNNNNNNNNNNNNNNNNNNNNNNNNNNNNNNNNNNNNNNNNNNNNNNNNNNNNNNNNNNNNNNNNNNNNNNNNCGGGAGAAGGCACGCUGAUAUGUAGGUGAAGUGAUUUACUCAUGGAGCUGAAAUCAGUCGAAGAUACCAGCUGGCUGCAACUGUUUAUUAAAAACACAGCACUGUGCAAACACGAAAGUGGACGUAUACGGUGUGACGCCUGCCCGGUGCCGGAAGGUUAAUUGAUGGGGUUAUCCGUAAGGAGAAGCUCUUGAUCGAAGCCCCGGUAAACGGCGGCCGUAACUAUAACGGUCCUAAGGUAGCGAAAUUCCUUGUCGGGUAAGUUCCGACCUGCACGAAUGGCGUAAUGAUGGCCAGGCUGUCUCCACCCGAGACUCAGUGAAAUUGAACUCGCUGUGAAGAUGCAGUGUACCCGCGGCAAGACGGAAAGACCCCGUGAACCUUUACUAUAGCUUGACACUGAACACUGGUCCUUGAUGUGUAGGAUAGGUGGGAGGCUUUGAAGUGUGGACGCCAGUCUGCAUGGAGCCAUCCUUGAAAUACCACCCUUUAAUGGCUGGUGUUCUAACGUAGACCCGUAAUCCGGGUUGCGGACAGUGUCUGGUGGGUAGUUUGACUGGGGCGGUCUCCUCCUAAAGAGUAACGGAGGAGCACGAAGGUUAGCUAAUCCUGGUCGGACAUCAGGAGGUUAGUGCAAAGGCAUAAGCUAGCUUGACUGCGAGAGUGACGGCUCGAGCAGGUGCGAAAGCAGGUCUUAGUGAUCCGGUGGUUCUGAAUGGAAGGGCCAUCGCUCAACGGAUAAAAGGUACUCCGGGGAUAACAGGCUGAUACCGCCCAAGAGUUCAUAUCGACGGCGGUGUUUGGCACCUCGAUGUCGGCUCAUCACAUCCUGGGGCUGAAGUAGGUCCCAAGGGUAUGGCUGUUCGCCAUUUAAAGUGGUACGCGAGCUGGGUUUAGAACGUCGUGAGACAGUUCGGUCCCUAUCUGCCGUGGGCGCUGGAGAAUUGAGGGGGGCUGCUCCUAGUACGAGAGGACCGGAGUGGACGCAUCACUGGUGUUCGGGUUGUCAUGCCAAUGGCAUUGCCCGGUAGCUAAAUGCGGAAGAGAUAAGUGCUGAAAGCAUCUAAGCACGAAACUUGCCCCGAGAUGAGUUCUCCCUGA